Molecule: ribosomal RNA, 411 nt
Filed under: Triticum aestivum (bread wheat)
Lineage: Eukaryota; Viridiplantae; Streptophyta; Magnoliopsida; Poales; Poaceae
Description: partial small subunit ribosomal RNA
Source: RNAcentral
AUGGAAUUGAGGGUGCCUCAUAUGCUUCAUCUUUUUAAUGUCUUCUGUGAAAAUAAGGAUUCUGAAAAUUGUGCUCAAGUACUAGAAGAAGAAUUACAUAGAAUGCUUGGCAUAAAAUAUGUGAAUGAUGAGUAUGAUUGCAACGUUGUUAGUAUGAAUUCUUUGAAUACCCAUGAUGCUAAUGAUAUGCAAAGGCCCAAGCUUGGGAUGUUAUGUUUGAUGAGAAUGACAUGUUUGAGAACUUAUUUGCUGCAAUUAAUGUUUGUCCCAAGCUUGGGGAUGCUAUGUUUUAUGAAGAUGAUAUUUUUAACCUUCCAAGUUUUGAUGUGCAAAUUUAUUAUGAUGAUAGCAUGCCUCCUAUUUAUGAUGAUUAUAUUGAUGAAAGUGGGUUUGGAAGAGUGUCAACUUUAG